CAGAUCGUGGCGGUUGAGUUCGACAACAUCCGAUAUUCUUGGGAUCCGAGCGACGAUCACGUCGGGAUCGACGUCAACUCAAUCCGUUCCGGCGCAGUGCCGCAUUGGGAAGAACGAUUCAACCUUUAGUAGGAAAACCCAAGUCCACUAAUCAUUGUAGCGAUAAACGCAAAAUCAGAAGAGAACAUAAACGAAAGGGAGGGAGCUGCAAAGGAACUAAACCUGAUGUUGAUCGUCGUGCUUGUCCAAAUUGAGGGUUGGAGCUCUUCGACGGCGAAAAAGUGGGAAAAUUUAUCAAAUAAUUCGUUCCCGAUCGAUUGUUAGAGUUCGUCAGCGUCAGAUUCUCCGCCUCCACCGAAAACUCCACCCAGAUUCACAAAGUUCUCGCCUGAAAUUUCCAUUCCACCCUAAAAAUCAAGAAGCUGCAAAUUUUUUUUGGAUUGGCGAUCGGGUUAGGGUAGCGUUUGGGUUAUUGUUUAUCGGAUUCGGAGCGUUUCUGUUCGGGAGGACUAAAAUCUGCCACCAGAGAAACAACGACGACAACAGAGGAUUCAAAAUGGUUCCUCAUUCCUCUAUUUUAUUAGUUUAUUUAUUUUUUAAUUUAUAUUUUAUUGAUUAAUGACUAGAAUUGAUGAUGAUGUGACAUGCAUGCUUGGCCGGUAUAUAUUGGUGUGGCGGACGGAAGUCGACAAAAAUCGGAAAUGGUGUCAGUGAUAAAUUACUACUGGGACCAAAAUGUCGAAACAUACGAUCUUAAGGUGUUUGUGAAAAAAAUUUAAACUUACGGGACUAUUAAAGUCGAUAGCCUGAUUUUAUAGAGGUUGAACCAUUGAACUUUCCUUAAAAAUCACAUUGGUACUAAUUCCGAACAAGCAACCCGGUCUGGUUCGGUUCAUCCGGUCAAAACAGAGAACAG
RNAcentral lists this long non-coding RNA (916 nucleotides) under Linum usitatissimum (flax). RNAcentral describes it as "long non-coding RNA (LUSI_LNC006488)". Lineage: Eukaryota; Viridiplantae; Streptophyta; Magnoliopsida; Malpighiales; Linaceae. The record is from RNAcentral.